UACGUAGGGGGCAAGCGUUGUCCGGAAUCAUUGGGCGUAAAGCGCGUGUAGGCGGCUCGAUAAGUCCGCUCUGAAAGUCCAGGGCUCAACCCUGGGAUGCGGGUGGAUACUGUCGGGCUCGAGUCCGGAAGAGGCGAGUGGAAUUCCUGGUGUAGCGGUGAAAUGCGCAGAUAUCAGGAGGAACACCAAUGGCGAAGGCAGCUCGCUGGGACGUGACUGACGCUGAGACGCGAAAGCGUGGGGGAGCAAACAGG
RNAcentral lists this ribosomal RNA (254 nucleotides) under uncultured bacterium. RNAcentral's name for it is "partial 16S ribosomal RNA". It matches the Rfam family "Bacterial small subunit ribosomal RNA", at positions 524 to 776 of the family's 1533-position model. The record is from RNAcentral.